Molecule: ribosomal RNA, 1111 nt
Filed under: Mammaliicoccus lentus
Lineage: Bacteria; Bacillati; Bacillota; Bacilli; Caryophanales; Staphylococcaceae
Description: bacterial SSU rRNA
Rfam family: Bacterial small subunit ribosomal RNA
Source: RNAcentral
GCACACCCCCGCCGUGAGGUGGAAAAAAAGGUUCUUUAGGUUUCGUAAAAUUUUCUGUUGUUUUGGGGAAAGGAAACAAAUUUUGGUUAGUAAAUUGAUACAAGUCCUUGACCGGUACCUAUCCCAGAAAAAACAAGGCUAAUUUCGUGCCAGCACCSGCGGUAAUAGGUAGGUGGCAAGCGUUAUCCGGAAUUAUUGGGCGURAAGCGCRCGUAGGCGGUUUCUUAAUUCUGAUGUGAAAGCCCACGGCUCAACCCUGGAGGGUCAUUGGGAACUGGGGAACUUGAGUGCAGAAGAGGAGAGGGGAAUUCCAUGUGUAGCGGUGAAAUGCGCAGAGAUAUGGAGGAACACCAGUGGCGAAGGCGGCUCUCUGGUCUGUAUCUGACGCUGAUGUGCGAAAGCGUGGGGAUCAAACAGGAUUAGAUAUCCUGGUAGUCCACGCCGUAAACGAUGAGUGCUAAGUGUUAGGGGGUUUCCGCCCCUUAGUGCUGCAGCUAACGCAUUAAGCACUCCGCCUGGGGAGUACGACCGCAAGGUUGAAACUCAAAGGAAUUGACGGGGACCCGCACAAGCGGUGGAGCAUGUGGUUUAAUUCGAAGCAACGCGAAGAACCUUACCAAAUCUUGACAUCCUUUGAUCGCUCUAGAGAUAGAGUUUUCCCCUUCGGGGGACAAAGUGACAGGUGGUGCAUGGUUGUCGUCAGCUCGUGUCGUGAGAUGUUGGGUUAAGUCCCGCAACGAGCGCAACCCUUAAGCUUAGUUGCCAUCAUUAAGUUGGGCACUCUAGGUUGACUGCCGGUGACAAACCGGAGGAAGGUGGGGAUGACGUCAAAUCAUCAUGCCCCUUAUGAUUUGGGCUACACACGUGCUACAAUGGAUAAUACAAAGGGCAGCGAACCCGCGAGGUCAAGCAAAUCCCAUAAAAUUAUUCUCAGUUCGGAUUGUAGUCUGCAACUCGACUACAUGAAGCUGGAAUCGCUAGUAAUCGUAGAUCAGCAUGCUACGGUGAAUACGUUCCCGGGUCUUGUACACACCGCCCGUCACACCACGAGAGUUUGUAACACCCGAAGCCGGUGGAGUACCCUUUUAUUAGGAGCUAGCCGCGAAGGGAU